CAGUCGCCGCGGGAAUACGUAGGGUGCGAGCGUUAAUCGGAAUUACUGGGCGUAAAGCGUGCGCAGGCGGUUCGUUAAGACAGAUGUGAAAUCCCCGGGCUUAACCUGGGAACUGCAUUUGUGACUGGCGAGCUAGAGUAUGGCAGAGGGGGGUAGAAUUCCACGUGUAGCAGUGAAAUGCGUAGAGAUGUGGAGGAAUACCGAAGGCGAAGGCAGCCCCCUGGGCCAAUACUGACGCUCAUGCACGAAAGCGUGGGGAGCAAACAGGAUUAGAUACCCCUGUAGUCCCUGUCUCUUAUAC
This 301-nucleotide ribosomal RNA is filed under the name uncultured bacterium. RNAcentral describes it as "partial 16S ribosomal RNA". It matches the Rfam family "Bacterial small subunit ribosomal RNA", at positions 509 to 807 of the family's 1533-position model. The record is from RNAcentral.